UACGUAGGGUCCGAGCGUUAAUCGGAAUUACUGGGCGUAAAGCGUGCGCAGGCGGUUUUGUAAGCCAGAUGUGAAAGCCCCGGGCUCAACCUGGGAACUGCAUUGGAAACUAACGGGCUCGAGUGUGGCAGAGGGGGGUGGAAUUCCACGUGUAGCAGUGAAAUGCGUAGAGAUGUGGAGGAACACCGAUGGCGAAGGCAGCCCCCUGGGCUAACACUGACGCUCAUGCACGAAAGCGUGGGGAGCAAACAGG
RNAcentral lists this ribosomal RNA (253 nucleotides) under uncultured bacterium. RNAcentral's name for it is "partial 16S ribosomal RNA". It matches the Rfam family "Bacterial small subunit ribosomal RNA", at positions 524 to 776 of the family's 1533-position model. The record is from RNAcentral.